GGGAUAGAUGAUUGGGGUGAAGUCGUAACAAGGUAGCCGUAUCGGAAGGUGCGGCUGGAUCACCUCCUUU
This 70-nucleotide ribosomal RNA is filed under the name Klebsiella pneumoniae. RNAcentral's name for it is "partial 16S ribosomal RNA". It matches the Rfam family "Bacterial small subunit ribosomal RNA", at positions 1464 to 1533 of the family's 1533-position model. Lineage: Bacteria; Pseudomonadati; Pseudomonadota; Gammaproteobacteria; Enterobacterales; Enterobacteriaceae. The record is from RNAcentral. RNAcentral also lists the same sequence under 8 other names.